UCAUUGGCCAGCAGCUAGCUCUCUGCAACUCUCACAUGGUCGCCCACUGAAGCGAAGCAGGGCUGAGCCAGGUCAGUACCUGGAAGGGAGACCACAUGGGAAAACUACAGUUAGUGAG
This 118-nucleotide ribosomal RNA is filed under the name Danio rerio (zebrafish). The record is from RNAcentral. Lineage: Eukaryota; Metazoa; Chordata; Actinopteri; Cypriniformes; Danionidae.